GGGAGAGAGAGCCUGGCUGCCGCGAUGGUGCCACCGGCAACGGUGACAUCACCACAGCCCGGCGUGACUCCUCGAGUCGCGUCGGGCGACACGUGACCCGUCCCCCGGGAUGUGUCACGCACGCGAGGAAAGUCCCCCCACCUGUUCGGGCAGGUGACCGGGCGCAAGUCCGGAGCGGGAGACCGCUGGCUCUGGAACAGAAACGACACGUCUCGGCCCGACCGAUGAUGCGCGCGAACCCGACCGAGAGGAAGGGGAGUUGACCCGCAGAGGAUGGCGGUCGCGGAGCUGUGGUUCGAACCCACAGGUCGUGGACGCGGUUCGGCGUGCUUCGAGCACGAGAACCGCGAGCCGUGCGACGGCGCGUGCCGUCGCACGGACCGUCACGACCGACCGCACACGGACGGCCGAGGAUCGAUGGAACGGCGAACCCUCACCGGUGCAAGUCCGCGCCGUGGUAGCCCGAACGCCCCGCGGCCUCGCCGCGGACGGCGCGGACGCUCAGCCGAAUGCCGGGUCGAACAGAAGGGGGCUUACUCCUCUCACCC
Molecule: RNase P RNA, 548 nt
Filed under: Natrinema altunense
Lineage: Archaea; Methanobacteriati; Methanobacteriota; Halobacteria; Halobacteriales; Natrialbaceae
Description: RNase P RNA component
Rfam family: Archaeal RNase P (bases 84-548)
About the family: Ribonuclease P (RNase P) is a ubiquitous endoribonuclease, found in archaea, bacteria and eukarya as well as chloroplasts and mitochondria. Its best characterised activity is the generation of mature 5'-ends of tRNAs by cleaving the 5'-leader elements of precursor-tRNAs. Cellular RNase Ps are ribonucleoproteins.
Source: RNAcentral